CGGGCGGCCGUGACCCUGCUGGAGUGCGGGGGGGACCUCCAGCCCCCCGGGGGGUCCCUGACUCUGCUCUGCCGCGGGAAAGGGUUCAAUUUCGGGAGUUAUGGAAUGUUUUGGAUCCGCCAGAGGCCCGGGAAGGCGCCGGAAUUGGUCGCAGCGACCAACGGCAAUGGCGACAGCACUGGGUACGCUUCGUCAGUCAAGGGCCGGUUCUUGAUCUCCAGGGACAACGGGCAGAGCUCGGUGACGCUGACCAUGAACAACCUCAAGGACGAGGAUUCCGCCGUUUAUUUCUGUGUCAAAUGUUACAACGAUGGUUGUUGUAGUAAUACUGGUGCUGGUCAUCUGACGCGGAGCCGACGCCGGCAGAAGCGGUUCGGUGCCGGGUCUGGGGCCAGGCCGGAGCCUUUGCCCAAAUCCCUGAAUUUCUGA
This is a non-coding RNA of Catharus ustulatus (Swainson's thrush), 429 nucleotides long. Lineage: Eukaryota; Metazoa; Chordata; Aves; Passeriformes; Turdidae. The record is from the annotation of a RefSeq genome assembly.